AGAUCAGGUCACACUGAAACACACUCAAACGAAGCGAAGCGUUGGUAAAAAAGUGACAAUAAUGUCUGCCGAUAACACUUCCUUUUCAUCAGCGAGCGAGACCGGUCGUGUUUUUUCUUAACAGUCUGAAAGGUGACUUUUUCCAAGCAACAAAGGCUUAAUUAAAAGUUAUUGUAAAAAUUGGAUCAUUGUUUAUUUCAUACAAAUCUUCAUCAAUAUAUAAAUUAUUCCUCUUUUCAUUUCCCAAAGGAGAGUAUCUGAUCAAUGUGGCUACAGUGCUACGAUCAAAAUUCCGAUCAUCCUUGAGAUGAUUUAAAACAAAAAAAAAA
This is a long non-coding RNA of Drosophila miranda, 329 nucleotides long. RefSeq lists it as uncharacterized. NCBI's taxonomy places the organism in Eukaryota, Metazoa, Arthropoda, Insecta, Diptera, Drosophilidae. The record is from RefSeq and is a predicted model, not a curated record. The transcript is spliced from 2 exons.